GACUGAACCAUUGUCGUGGAAAUAUAAUUCAGGUGCUAUUUGCUGGGCAUUCAUUUAAAGCCAGACGUAGAAGCGAACGGAGGUGAAUCAGACAUUGGAAACGCAACACGGGAACCAGGACUCAAGUACAUCGAGUAAAAGGAACAAUCGGCUGUAUUGCGGUGCAGAAAAGGCUGUAGACAUGUAUCGUGAAAUAUUUACAUGUUUGAUUAUUGCAGCGGUACUGAUGGCUGCUAAUGGUCAAAAGAGGCGGAUUCACAAAGGAACACAAUGGGGCAAACGGACGUCUCUCUACGAUGGCGCCGAUGAACGUAACCUCUCUGGAUACCCUGACCCCUCCAAGCAAAUCGACUUAGCCAAUCUUGUUCGUGCCUGGAUUAAUUUUGAGAUGCAACGGCAAGAAAAUUCAAUUAAAGUUCCUAAUUAUGACCAAGCUCUCGGCUAUGAUCAAUCUAAAUUUGAAAAGGAGAUAAAAUGAGGCCUUAUUCAGCAGCAGAAAUUAAAGCGACACAUCACGAAAUGAACUUUAUUUUCUCAAUAUAAUAACGAACAUUUUGAAAACACUCUUUUAUGUACUUUAUAUUUAAAGUGGUAAAAGUCGAUUACAGAAUCGUAUGCAAGUAUUGUUGCCAUCGAGUACAGCACGUCGUUAUCCUUUAUCACGUAAACUCGAAACAGUGGAUUGAAAACAGUUAAAAACGAAAACGUAUAGAGGGCGCUAUUUGAAUAUCUUAUUAUUAGCGCAUUCUUAAAUCAUUGCGCAUGUUAUAAAAUGAUAUUUUGGAAAAAAAAAGAUAUGUGCAAUGAAAAGAACAAGUGUACAAAAUAUUAAUUAUUUUUUAUCAGAAAUUACGGUAAUAAAUUGACUCCAACAUCACAAUUAUCCCAAUGGAAUAUUUACCUCGAAUCAAUUUAUACUAAUGAAAUUGUGUAGCAGAUUUAUGGCUGAGAAUUUAACUGUUCCCUGCUGAGACAGUGCAGUGUGUCUGUUUCGUAUUUCUUAGUAUUAUUCCACCCCCACUGUUGUCACCAGAUCUAAUAUACCGUAUACUUUUAUGACACAAUUGUAUAAGCCAUACUUACAAAUAUAUGGGCUCAAAUCACACCCAUGUACACACAUAGGCCUAUAUUAAAUAUCCUUAUAAGAACAUAUAUCCAGAAGUAUAAGUUUAUGCCCUUUAGUGCUUAUCUUUGACUCACUCUGUUUUUCAUAUCUAUCCUAUAUUUAU
Molecule: long non-coding RNA, 1229 nt
Organism: Anneissia japonica
Lineage: Eukaryota; Metazoa; Echinodermata; Crinoidea; Comatulida; Comatulidae
Exons: 3
Source: RefSeq, a predicted model, not a curated record